This 254-nucleotide ribosomal RNA is filed under the name uncultured bacterium. Its description in RNAcentral is "partial 16S ribosomal RNA". It matches the Rfam family "Bacterial small subunit ribosomal RNA", at positions 524 to 776 of the family's 1533-position model. The record is from RNAcentral.
UACGGAGGGGGCUAGCGUUGUUCGGAAUUACUGGGCGUAAAGGGCGCGCAGGCGGCUGCUCAAGUCAGGCGUGAAAGGCCUGGGCUCAACCCGGGAAUUGCGCUUGAGACUGGGCUGGCUUGAGUGCGGGAGAGGAUGGUGGAAUUCCCAGUGUAGAGGUGAAAUUCGUAGAUAUUGGGAAGAACACCGGUGGCGAAGGCGGCAUCCUGGACCGAUACUGACACUGAGGAGCGAAAGCCAGGGGAGCAAACGGG